AACGCGAAGAACCUUACCUACCUUUGAAUCCACGGAAUCUUGCAGAGAUGUGAGAGUGCCUUCGGGAACCGUGAGACAGGUGCUGCAUGGCUGUCGUCAGCUCGUGUCGUGAGAUGUUGGGUUAAGUCCCGUAACGAGCGCAACCCUUGUCCUUAGUUACUAACGAGUAAAGUCGAGGACUUUAAGGAGACUGCCGGUGAUAAACCGGAGGAAGGUGGGGAUGACGUCAAGUCCUCAUGGCCCUUACAGGUAGGGCUACACACGUGCUACAAUGGCCGGUACAGAGGGUCGCCAACCCGCGAGGGGGAGCUAAUCUCAAAAAGCCGGUCGUAGUCCGGAUUGGAGUCUGCAACUCGACUCCAUGAAGCUGGAAUCGCUAGUAAUCGCGGAUCAGCACGCCGCGGUGAAUACGUUCCCGGGCCUUGUACACACCGCUCGUC
Molecule: ribosomal RNA, 440 nt
Filed under: uncultured bacterium
Lineage: Bacteria
Description: bacterial SSU rRNA
Rfam family: Bacterial small subunit ribosomal RNA
Source: RNAcentral